This 254-nucleotide ribosomal RNA is filed under the name uncultured bacterium. RNAcentral describes it as "partial 16S ribosomal RNA". It matches the Rfam family "Bacterial small subunit ribosomal RNA", at positions 524 to 776 of the family's 1533-position model. The record is from RNAcentral.
UACGUAGGGUCCAAGCGUUAUCCGGAAUUACUGGGCGUAAAGCGUGUGUAGGUGGCGCGUUAAGUGCAACGCGAAAUCCUGUGGCUCAACCAUAUGGACUGUGUUGCAUACUGGCGUGCUUGAGGAUGGCAGAGGCAAGUGGAAUUUGUAGUGUAGCAGUGAAAUGCGUAGAUAUUACAAGGAACACCAAUGGCGAAGGCAGCUUGCUGGGCCAUAUCUGACGCUGAGACACGAAAGCGUGGGGAGCGAACAGG